This is a long non-coding RNA of Orcinus orca (killer whale), 3256 nucleotides long. RefSeq lists it as uncharacterized. Lineage: Eukaryota; Metazoa; Chordata; Mammalia; Artiodactyla; Delphinidae. The record is from RefSeq and is a predicted model, not a curated record. The transcript has 2 exons.
CCCAACGCUGGAGCCUGCCUGGGCUCUUUGGUGGGGCUAAUGGCAUACUCUGGGAGGGCUCCCGCCAAGGAGUACUUCCCAGAACUUCUGCUGCCAGUGUCCCUGUACUCUCGGUGAGACAGAGCCACCCCCUGCCUCUGCAGGAGACCCUCCAACACUAGCAGGUCGUGUCCUCAGCCUUGUGUUUGGGCAUGAAAGCAUCCUGGACGUUGGGCAUCUAGGUCUUCUCUCAGCACCACCUCUGGACCAGUUCUGUGGACCCCAGCCCUUGCUUCAGACCUUUCUGUUUUGGGGUCACACGGCAGCUUGGUGUGUUAAGGGCAAGCCUCACCGGCAUCUAGGUUUCCCCAUACAUUGCUUUGAUGUUCCCUCGUCAGCAGCAGCCUCAGUCUCUGUGUCACACUGAGAGCCAGCCCCUAUUUCAUAAUCACUAUUAACUUUCAAAAGUAGGUCCCUAUUUGGCACUGCCCACUCAGCACGAGGUGCUAACGUCGGCACUACUCACUGCUAAGUUCUUUGUGCGUCUGAGUCAGCUCCUUACUUUCCCUACUCCGUCUCUAAAGGUGGCCUCUGCUUCUUUUCCUGGCUUCACACUCUGGGUGAGGAGAAAGGUAGUGAGAUGCUCCUAAGACCAAAGUCAUGAUUGCUCCCCUUUCCUGAGGGUCUCCAGACACAGGUUCAGGGGCACGUGUAGGUUUGUAUGUUCUGAGGGGAGAAAUGAUUCCACAACAGAAAGAAGUGGCCUCACAAGAAUGGAAGGACAACUUCAAACAUGCUGUCAGUAACUCAUCAAAUGACAGCGAUGCAGUAACCCUUCAGGUCACGCCUGGCAGCCAGCUGAUCCUGGGCAGGGGAAACCAAUGGCCAAAGAAAGGAGGAAGCACACCUGAGCCAACCUGCUCACAAGCUGCAAUAUGUAAACGUGGGUACAAAGCGGUUACUUAAUUCCUGCACCUGUUCUGACUCAGCACACGCUUGAAGUACUUUUUUUUUAAUUGUAACAUCUUUAUUGGAGUAUUAUUGGUGUACAAUGUUGUGUUAGUUUCUGCUGUAUGAUGAAGUGAAUCAGCUAUACGUAUAUACACUUGAAGUAUUGGGCCAGGAUUUGACAGGAUGCCAGUGCUGGCAGCACACGCAGAAAAUUUCACGGUGACACCACCCAGAUGGUGCCAGGAAAGGGACACAGAGCCCAGUGGGCUCUGCCUGCAGCUCUGGAGGAGAAGCCUUCCUCCUGCCUGCAGGGAAGACUUGGGCUGAUGCCUGGCUCCCCUGGAGUAGCCUGCAAAAUAAACUAGCAUGGACCUGACAUUUAAAAAUUCGUCAGCUGUAGAUUUUCAAAGUGUAUCAAUGGGGUUUGGGUUUCAUGAUUGCUGCUAAAAAAAUGUGAGCAACUCGCAUGACUAUAUUCAAUUUUCACUGAUUUAAUUACUGCUAAGAAAAGAAACUGCCAGAUGGAAAAGACAUCGGCAUCACAUUUCUCACGGUGUUCAAGUUGGCAUCAGCAUUGAUCAAAACCUUGCAGUGGCCUCUCGUUUCCAUCCGUGGUUUUAAAGUGACUGUACUUAGGUGACUUAUUUGUGAUCCCCUCUUCAUUACUGUGUCUUGGACAGUAUCAAAACAGACCUGCCUGGGGCUUCCCCGGUGGCGCAGUGGUUGAGAGUCUGCCUGCCGAUGCAGGGGACACGGGUUCGUGCCCCGGUCCGGGAAGAUCCCACAUGCCGCGGAGCGGCUGGGCCCGUGAGCCAUGGCUGCUGAGCCUGCGCGUCCGGAGCCUGUCACAACAGUGAGAGGCCCGCGUACCACACACACACAAAAAAGACCUGCCUGUGGCUGUUUAUAUAAAUCUUUAAGUUCAGUAUCUUGUGAGCUUCCAGAACUUUUGUUGGCAGAAUAUGGUAGUGCUUUAUAAAUGCAUGUGGGAGAAAACCUUGAAAAGAUGGUAGACUCGUUUAUAGAAGCGGUAGCAAACAAUGACCUUUCUGGAACAUAGAAAAAAAAAUAUAUGCAUCUGCUUUAAGCAGCUUUUUAUUAGUGAAAUGCACGGCUUACGUUAUAAGUAGUAAAACCUAAGCCUUGGCAGCAGUUUUAAUUCUCCAGGGAGCACAGAUUAUGUUCAAAGGGCUAAGAUGGUUCAUGGUAAGAUCAGAAUGGGUUACGGAACAAUUAGAGAGAAAAUUCAACUCAAAAUAAAUGUCGACUGAGUGGUUCUAGGACUGAGCAUUUUUACUGGCGGGUGAGGUGUCUAACAUUUGGAUGCAUUUGAAUUAUCGUCACAGAGUGACAGAGGACCUUAGCUGUCAUCUUCUCUCUUUUCCCCAGCCUCCAGUCCUGGAACCUCUGACAGCUGAUAUGGUUGACCUUGCCCAGGACCUCACAGGCAGCCUACCUCGUGGAUGCUUGCCCAGGUCUAAGCUUACACGGUUUCCCUGUCGCCUCUAAAUACCCAGCUUCCUCUCUGAAUGGCCCACAGCGAAUGCACGUCUAUAGUACAGGUUUGCUAAUACCUGAAGUUAGGUCUCAUGUGUCUUCCAACUUGGCUUUUCCUUUUUCAGGCUGAUUCUGUGGAUCUGGAUCCUUCGUGUGGUGGCUCACUUAACCAAAGAGAAUGAACUUCCUGGAGAGAAGAGAACAGUGCUUCAGCCAAGCAAAGCUUGUGUAGCUGUGCUUCUAAACUAGACUGUCCAAAAAGCCCAUGAGCAUUUUCUAGACCAGCAUCCCAUCUCAUUCAGCCUUUCCUCCCUUUCAGAGUUUCCAGAACUUUCACCAUCCUGGAGGUCCAGCACUAGCUGGUAUCAGUUAACCAAUGGUCUUAACAGAGAUAAUAAUAUUCCAUUGUAUAUAUACAUAUAUACACACAGCAUUUUGUCCAUCUGUUCGUCCAUUGAUGCAUGCUUGGAUUGCUUCCACCUUUGACUCUUGUGAAUAAUGCUGCUAUGAACAUGGCUGUACAAAUAUUUGCUCAAGUCCCUGCUUUCAUUUCCGUGGGGUAUAUACCCAGAAGUGGAAUUGCUGGAUCAUAUGGUAAUCCCAUGUUUUGAGGAACUGUUAUGCUGUUUUCCACAGGAACUGCACAUGAUCUUUUUUUUUUUUUUACUGCAUAUGCUAUAGUAUAAUUAUAACAAUUUAUUAGAUAUUGCCAAACUUUUUUCUAAAAUUAUAUAUAUAUACACACACCCCUACCAGCAGUGACUCAAAUCUUUGCCAACACUAUUAUCAGAUUUCUUAAUUUUGGCAAAUUUAGUGGUUUUAAAAUGAU